This 301-nucleotide ribosomal RNA is filed under the name uncultured bacterium. RNAcentral's name for it is "partial 16S ribosomal RNA". It matches the Rfam family "Bacterial small subunit ribosomal RNA", at positions 509 to 807 of the family's 1533-position model. The record is from RNAcentral.
CAGUAGCCGCGGUAAUACAGAGGGUGCGAGCGUUAAUCGGAUUUACUGGGCGUAAAGCGUGCGUAGGCGGCUUUUUAAGUCGGAUGUGAAAUCCCUGAGCUUAACUUAGGAAUUGCAUUCGAUACUGGGAAGCUAGAGUAUGGGAGAGGAUGGUAGAAUUCCAGGUGUAGCGGUGAAACGCGUAGAGAUCUGGAGGAAUACCGAUGGCGAAGGCAGCCAUCUGGCCUAACACUGACGCUGAGGUACGAAAGCAUGGGGAGCAAACAGGAUUAGAUACCCCCGUAGUCCCUGUCUCUUAUAC